AUACGUAUGUCGCAAGCGUUAUCCGGAUUUAUUGGGCGUAAAGCGCGUCUAGGCGGCUUAGUAAGUCUGAUGUGAAAAUGCGGGGCUCAACCCCGUAUUGCGUUGGAAACUGCUAAACUAGAGUACUGGAGAGGUAGGCGGAACUACAAGUGUAGAGGUGAAAUUCGUAGAUAUUUGUAGGAAUGCCGAUGGGGAAGCCAGCCUACUGGAAAGAUACUGACGCUAAAGCGCGAAAGCGUGGGUAGCAAACAGGAUUAGAUACCCUGGUAGUCCACGCCGUAAACGAUGAUUACUAGGUGUUGGGGGUCGAACCUCAGCGCCCAAGCUAACGCGAUAAGUAAUCCGCCUGGGGAGUACGUACGCAAGUAUGAAACUCAAAUGAAUUGACGGGG
This 392-nucleotide ribosomal RNA is filed under the name uncultured bacterium. RNAcentral's name for it is "partial 16S ribosomal RNA". It matches the Rfam family "Bacterial small subunit ribosomal RNA", at positions 523 to 918 of the family's 1533-position model. The record is from RNAcentral.